This 468-nucleotide ribosomal RNA is filed under the name uncultured bacterium. RNAcentral describes it as "partial 16S ribosomal RNA". It matches the Rfam family "Bacterial small subunit ribosomal RNA", at positions 28 to 507 of the family's 1533-position model. The record is from RNAcentral.
GAUGAACGCUGACAGAAUGCUUAACACAUGCGAGUCUACUUGAAUUUGGGUUUUUUAACUUAGAUUUGGGUGGCGGACGGGUGAGUAACGCGUAAAGAACUUGCCUCACAGCUAGGGACAACAUUUGGAAACGAAUGCUAAUACCUGAUAUUAUGAUUAUAAGGCAUCUUAGAAUUAUGAAAGCUAUAUGCGCUGUGAGAGAGCUUUGCGUCCCAUUAGCUAGUUGGAGAGGUAACGGCUCACCAAGGCGAUGAUGGGUAGCCGGCCUGAGAGGGUGAACGGCCACAAGAGGACUGAGACACGGCCCUUACUCCUACGGGAGGCAGCAGUGGGGAAUAUUGGACAAUGGACCAAGAGUCUGAUCCAGCAAUUCUGUGUGCACGAUGACGUUUUUCGGAAUGUAAAGUGCUUUCAGUUGGGAAGAAAAAAAUGACGGUACCAACAGAAGAAGUGACGGCUAAAUACGUG